This is a long non-coding RNA of Xenia sp. Carnegie-2017, 695 nucleotides long. RefSeq lists it as uncharacterized. NCBI's taxonomy places the organism in Eukaryota, Metazoa, Cnidaria, Anthozoa, Malacalcyonacea, Xeniidae. The record is from RefSeq and is a predicted model, not a curated record. The transcript is spliced from 4 exons.
GACAUUAACCGAAAAGAUUCCUAAUAGCAAUGCUAGAUUAUUGGAAAAUAUACAAUCUUACGAAAAAGUACAACCUUACCUACUUAAUGACAGAAUAAAGCAAGAUAUUUCAAUCAAAAUACCGGAUGGUCAUAUGCAAGACGUAGCCAUUGUUCUCCCUGGAACGAAAACGCAUUUUAAAUUGGAUUUAUCCUUAGUUGGGAAAAAGUCAAAAACACUAAUGCCAUGGCACCGUUGCUGGUGAUGAAAAUUCUGAUGUUUCUUUGAGUACUUGUAAUGGAAUAGAGUAACUGAAUUAAAUCUAUAUGAUCAGUGAUUAGAAGACAACAAAUAAUGGCAUGGUGAUGUAAUGGAAAGUCAUAUUUUGUUCAAUACAGAAGAUCUAAAGAUAAAUGAAGUUACCAGUGCUAUGACAUAGUUAGAAUCCAACAACUCCUGUGAAAAAUAUAAAGCGCAUAUUUAAACGUUCAAAUGACUUCAAAACAAGGACGAGUUGUCAAUGGAGUAUAGACUUGCUUUGUGACUGUAGAAAUGAUUUUAAUUCGCCGAUAUAUAUUUUUCAGUUUAGAAGAGAUGUAUUGAGCGAAACAAAAUAUGUGGAGUUUUUCGUCGUAAACGAUCGUACGCAGGUAGAUCUUGUUCCCCAUUGGCGAACAAAUCAAACUUUUCAAAAAAAAAUAUGCAAAAUCAACUGA